RNAcentral lists this ribosomal RNA (253 nucleotides) under uncultured bacterium. Its description in RNAcentral is "partial 16S ribosomal RNA". It matches the Rfam family "Bacterial small subunit ribosomal RNA", at positions 524 to 776 of the family's 1533-position model. The record is from RNAcentral.
UACGUAGGGUGCAAGCGUUGUCCGGAAUUAUUGGGCGUAAAGAGCUCGUAGGCGGUCUGUCACGUCGGCUGUGAAAUCCCGAGGCUCAACCUCGGGUCUGCAGUCGAUACGGGCAAACUAGAGUACUGCAGGGGAGACUGGAAUUCCUGGUGUAGCGGUGAAAUGCGCAGAUAUCAGGAGGAACACCGGCGGCGAAGGCGGUGCUCUGGGCCAGUAUUGACGCUGAGGAGCGAAAGCGUGGGUAGCAAACAGG